RNAcentral lists this ribosomal RNA (335 nucleotides) under uncultured Planctomycetales bacterium. RNAcentral describes it as "bacterial SSU rRNA". It matches the Rfam family "Bacterial small subunit ribosomal RNA", at positions 473 to 806 of the family's 1533-position model. Lineage: Bacteria; Pseudomonadati; Planctomycetota; Planctomycetia; Planctomycetales. The record is from RNAcentral.
CAAAGGCCCCAAAGGAAGCCACGGCUACCUCUGUGCCAGCAGCCGCGGUAAUACAGAGGUGGCAAGCGUUGUUCGGUAUUAUUGGGCGUAAAGAGCACGUAGGCGGCUUUGUAAGUCAGAUGUGAAAGCCUUCUGUUCAAAGGAAGAACGGCAUCUGAAACUGCGAAUCUUGAGUGUAGGAGGGGAAAGUGGAACUUCUGGUGGAGCGGUGAAAUGCGUAGAUAUCAGAAGGAACGUCGGCGGCGAAAGCGACUCUCUGGCCUAUUACUGACACUGAGUGUGCGAAAGUUAGGGGAGCAAACGGGAUUAGAUACCCCGGUAGUCCUAACUGUAAA